RNAcentral lists this ribosomal RNA (432 nucleotides) under uncultured bacterium. Its description in RNAcentral is "partial 16S ribosomal RNA". It matches the Rfam family "Bacterial small subunit ribosomal RNA", at positions 29 to 507 of the family's 1533-position model. The record is from RNAcentral.
ACGAACGCUGGCGGCAUGCCUAACACAUGCAAGUCGAACGAGACCUUCGGGUCUAGUGGCGCACGGGUGCGUAACGCGUGGGAACCUGCCCUUAGGUUCGGAAUAACUCCCCGAAAGGGGUGCUAAUACCGGAUAAUGUCUUCGGACCAAAGAUUUAUCGCCUUUGGAUGGGCCCGCGUUGGAUUAGCUAGUUGGUAGGGUAAAAGCCUACCAAGGCGACGAUCCAUAGCUGGUCUGAGAGGAUGAUCAGCCACACUGGGACUGAGACACGGCCCAGACUCCUACGGGAGGCAGCAGUGGGGAAUAUUGGACAAUGGGCGAAAGCCUGAGCCAGCAAUGCCGCGUGAGUGAUGAAGGCCUUAGGGUUGUAAAGCUCUUUUACCCGGGAUGAUAAUGACAGUACCGGGAGAAUAAGCGCCGGCUAACUCCGUG